CAGUCGCCACGGUAAUACGAAGGGGGCUAGCGUUGUUCGGAAUUACUGGGCGUAAAGGGCGCGUAGGCGGCCAUUCAAGUUAGAUGUGAAAGCCCUGGGCUCAACCUAGGAAUUGCAUUUGAUACUGUUUGGCUUGAGUUCGGGAGAGGUGAGUGGAAUUCCCAGUGUGGAGGUGAAAUUCGUAGAGAUCGGGAGGAACAUCAGUGGCGAAGGCGGCCAUCUGGGACAACACUGACGCUGAGGCACGAAAGCGUGGGGAGCAAACAGGAUUAGAUACCCCCGUAGUCCCUGUCUCUUAUAC
Molecule: ribosomal RNA, 301 nt
Filed under: uncultured bacterium
Lineage: Bacteria
Description: partial 16S ribosomal RNA
Rfam family: Bacterial small subunit ribosomal RNA
Source: RNAcentral